Molecule: ribosomal RNA, 899 nt
Filed under: uncultured bacterium
Lineage: Bacteria
Description: bacterial SSU rRNA
Rfam family: Bacterial small subunit ribosomal RNA
Source: RNAcentral
CCUUAACCCCGGGAAGUGCAUUUGAAACUAAAGGGCUUGAGUAUGGGAGAGGGAAGUGGAAUUCCUGGUGUAGCGGUGAAAUGCGUAGAUAUCAGGAGGAACACCGGUGGCGAAGGCGACUUCCUGGACCAAUACUGACGCUAAGGCGCGAAGGCGUGGGUAGCAAACAGGAUUAGAUACCCUGGUAGUCCACGCAGUAAACGGUGAACACUAGGUGUAGCGGGUAUUGACCCCUGCUGUGCCGCAGCUAACGCAUUAAGUGUUCCGCCUGGGGAGUACGGUCGCAAGAUUAAAACUCAAAGGAAUUGACGGGGGCCCGCACAAGCGGUGGAGCAUGUGGUUUAAUUCGACGCAACGCGAAGAACCUUACCUGGAUUUGACAUCCCGGGAAGUCUUUUGAAAGAAAGAUGUGCCCUUCGGGGAACCCGGUGACAGGUGCUGCACGGCUGUCGUCAGCUCGUGUCGUGAGAUGUUGGGUUAAGUCCCGCAACGAGCGCAACCCCUAUCUUUAGUUACCAUCAUUUAGUUGGGGACUCUAAAGAUACUGCUCCGGUUAACGGGGAGGAAGGUGGGGAUGACGUCAAGUCCUCAUGGCCUUUAUGUCCAGGGCUACACACGUGCUACAAUGGGCUGUACAAAGGGUUGCGAACCCGCGAGGGUGAGCCAAUCCCAUAAAGCAGUUCUUAGUUCGGAUUGGAGUCUGCAACUCGACUCCAUGAAGCUGGAAUCGCUAGUAAUCGCGGAUCAGCAUGCCACGGUGAAUACGUUCCCGGGCCUUGUACACACCGCCCGUCACACCAUGAGAGUUGGUUGUACCAGAAGUUGUUGGACUAACCUGUAAAGGAAGUAGGCACCUAAGGUAUGGCUGAUGAUUGGGGUGAAGUCGUAACAAGGUAACC